GAUGAACGCUAGCGAUAGGCCUAACACAUGCAAGUCGAGGGGCAUCACGGAGUAGCAAUACUUUGGUGGCGACCGGCGCACGGGUGAGUAACGCGUAUGCAAUCUACCUACAACAGGGGGAUAACCCGGAGAAAUCCGGACUAAUACCGCAUAACACAGGGGUCCCGCAUGGGAAUAUUUGUUAAAGAUUUAUCGGUUGUAGAUGAGCAUGCGUUCCAUUAGGUAGUUGGUGAGGUAACGGCCCACCAAGCCUGCGAUGGAUAGGGGAACUGAGAGGUUUGUCCCCCACACUGGAACUGAGACACGGACCAGACUCCUACGGGAGGCAGCAGUGAGGAAUAUUGGUCAAUGGGCGAGAGCCUGAACCAGCCAAAUCGCGUGAAGGAAGACUGCCUUAUGGGUUGUAAACUUCUUUUGUACAGGAAUAAAAAGAGGGACGUGUCCUUCAUUGCAUGUACUGUACGAAUAAGCAUCGGCUAACUCCGUGCCAGCAGCCGCCGUAA
This 503-nucleotide ribosomal RNA is filed under the name uncultured bacterium. Its description in RNAcentral is "partial 16S ribosomal RNA". It matches the Rfam family "Bacterial small subunit ribosomal RNA", at positions 28 to 523 of the family's 1533-position model. The record is from RNAcentral.